Molecule: non-coding RNA, 26 nt
Filed under: Mus musculus (house mouse)
Lineage: Eukaryota; Metazoa; Chordata; Mammalia; Rodentia; Muridae
Source: RNAcentral
ACCACAGUGGUGCUGUAAAUCGCGGU